AUACGGGGGGUGCGAGCGUUAUUCGGAAUUACUGGGCGUAAAGAGCGCGUAGGCGGUCUUUUAAGUCAGGUGUGAAAGCCCGGGGCUCAACCCCGGAAGUGCACUUGAAACUAAGAGACUUGAGUAUGGGAGAGGGAAGUGGAAUGCCUGGUGUAGCGAUGAAAUGCGUAGAUAUCAGGAGGAACAUCAGUGGCGAAGGCGACUUCCUGGACCAAUACUGACGCUGAGGCGCGAAGGCGUGGGGAGCAAACAGGAUUAGAAACCCCGGUAGUCC
This 274-nucleotide ribosomal RNA is filed under the name uncultured bacterium. RNAcentral describes it as "partial 16S ribosomal RNA". It matches the Rfam family "Bacterial small subunit ribosomal RNA", at positions 523 to 796 of the family's 1533-position model. The record is from RNAcentral.